UGGGGAAUUUUGGACAAUGGGCGAAAGCCUGAUCCAGCAAUGCCGCGUGUGUGAAGAAGGCCUUCGGGUUGUAAAGCACUUUUGUCCGGAAAGAAAUCCUUGGCUCUAAUACAGUCGGGGGAUGACGGUACCGGAAGAAUAAGCACCGGCUAACUACGUGCCAGCAGCCGCGGUAAUACGUAGGGUGCAAGCGUUAAUCGGAAUUACUGGGCGUAAAGCGUGCGCAGGCGGUUCGGAAAGAAAGGUGUGAAAUCCCAGGGCUUAACCUUGGAACUGCACUUUUAACUACCGAGCUAGAGUACGUCAGAGGGGGGUAGAAUUCCACGUGUAGCAGUGAAAUGCGUAGAGAUGUGGAGGAAUACCGAUGGCGAAGGCAGCCCCCUGGGAUGAUACUGACGCUCAUGCACGAAAGCGUGGGGGGAGCAAAACAGGAUUAGAUACCCUGGUAGUCCACGCCCUAAACGAUGUCAACUAGUUGUUGGGGAUUCAUUUCCUUAGUAACGUAGCUAACGCGUGAAGUUGACCGCCUGGGGAGUACGGUCGCAAGAUUAAAACUCAAAUGAAUUGACGGGGUCAUAGCUGUUUCCU
RNAcentral lists this ribosomal RNA (588 nucleotides) under uncultured bacterium. RNAcentral's name for it is "partial 16S ribosomal RNA". It matches the Rfam family "Bacterial small subunit ribosomal RNA", at positions 355 to 1375 of the family's 1533-position model. The record is from RNAcentral.